UUUGAGUCUUGCAGCAACUAUAAAAUCUGUCAGGAUCAAAGCUAGACAGAGGAACUAUGAGGCACAUCUUUACGGAUUAAACCAAGCUAUAAAAAAGAAAACAGAUCAGAAUGAUAUAAGAUGUUAUUCAGAGAAAUGUUUCACUUGAGGAACAGGAACCUUAUGACAUGAAGCUUCAAUCGCAUAUUAAUAGGAGUUACAAAAGGAAUCUUCCCCCUCAUACUCAUGUAAGUCCAUGAGUUUAUUUACUCAUUAUUUGAUUCAAUGCUGCUCUUUUUCUAUUCAAUGCUCUCUAACAGAAUUAGAUUGAACAUACCUUGAACUUUUAUUUUAUUAUGUAGAAAUAUCAGAAAUCAUAUUACAAAUGCCAAUACAUGUUCUUUUUUUUCCCAGAGACUCUUAAUUUAUUUACACUA
This is a long non-coding RNA of Carassius auratus (goldfish), 416 nucleotides long. RefSeq lists it as uncharacterized. Lineage: Eukaryota; Metazoa; Chordata; Actinopteri; Cypriniformes; Cyprinidae. The record is from RefSeq and is a predicted model, not a curated record. The transcript is spliced from 3 exons.